AUUGUACGCUGGCGGCAUGCUUUACACAUGCAAGUCGGACGGCAGCACAGAGAAGCUUGCUUCUUGGGUGGCGAGUGGCGAACGGGUGAGUAACAUAUCGGAACGUACCGAGCAGUGGGGGAUAACUAAUCGAAAGAUUAGCUAAUACCGCAUAUUUUCUGAGGAAGAAAGCAGGGGACCAUUUGGCCUUGCGCUGUUUGAGCGGCCGAUAUCUGAUUAGCUAGUUGGUGGGGUAAAGGCCUACCAAGGCGACGAUCAGUAGCGGGUCUGAGAGGAUGAUCCGCCACACUGGGACUGAGACACGGCCCAGACUCCUACGGGAGGCAGCAGUGGGGAAUUUUGGACAAUGGGCGCAAGCCUGAUCCAGCCAUGCCGCGUGUCUGAAGAAGGCCUUCGGGUUGUAAAGGACUUUUGUCAGGGAAGAAAAGGGCGGGGUUAAUACCCCCGUCUGAUGAACGGUACCCUGAUAGAAUAAGCC
Molecule: ribosomal RNA, 478 nt
Filed under: Neisseria flava
Lineage: Bacteria; Pseudomonadati; Pseudomonadota; Betaproteobacteria; Neisseriales; Neisseriaceae
Description: bacterial SSU rRNA
Rfam family: Bacterial small subunit ribosomal RNA
Source: RNAcentral